This 404-nucleotide ribosomal RNA is filed under the name Actinomycetes bacterium. RNAcentral's name for it is "Actinobacteria bacterium partial 16S ribosomal RNA". It matches the Rfam family "Bacterial small subunit ribosomal RNA", at positions 355 to 776 of the family's 1533-position model. Lineage: Bacteria; Bacillati; Actinomycetota; Actinomycetes. The record is from RNAcentral.
UGGGGAAUAUUGGACAAUGGGCGCAAGCCUGAUCCAGCCAUGCCGCGUGAGUGAUGAAGGCCCUAGGGUUGUAAAGCUCUUUCACCGGUGAAGAUAAUGACGGUAACCGGAGAAGAAGCCCUGGCUAACUUCGUGCCAGCAGCCGCGGUAAUACGAAGGGGGCUAGCGUUGUUCGGAUUUACUGGGCGUAAAGCGCACGUAGGCGGACUUUUAAGUCAGGGGUGAAAUCCCGGGGCUCAACCCCGGAACUGCCUUUGAUACUGGAAGUCUUGAGUAUGGUAGAGGUGAGUGGAAUUCCGAGUGUAGAGGUGAAAUUCGUAGAUAUUCGGAGGAAAACCAGUGGCGAAGGCGGCUCACUGGACCAUUACUGACGCUGAGGUGCGAAAGCGUGGGGAGCAAACAGG